This 253-nucleotide ribosomal RNA is filed under the name uncultured bacterium. RNAcentral describes it as "partial 16S ribosomal RNA". It matches the Rfam family "Bacterial small subunit ribosomal RNA", at positions 524 to 776 of the family's 1533-position model. The record is from RNAcentral.
UACAGAAGCCUCAAGCGUUACCCGGAUUCACUGGGCGUAAAGGGUGCGUAGGCGGUUAUAUUAGUCGGGUGUUAAAUCCUGGGGCUCAACCCCAGGCUCGCAUUCGAAACGGUAUAACUAGAAGGAGUGAGAGGUGAACAGAACUCAUGGUGUAGGGGUGAAAUCCGUUGAUAUCAUGGGGAACACCAAAGGCGAAGGCAGUGCACUGGUACGUUUCUGACGCUCAAACACGAAAGCCAGGGUAGCGAAGAGG